CUUGGCGACCAUAGCGUUUUGGACCCACCUGACUCCAUUCCGAACUCAGAAGUGAAACGAAAUAGCGCCGAUGGUAGUGUGGGGU
This 85-nucleotide ribosomal RNA is filed under the name Vibrio parahaemolyticus. Lineage: Bacteria; Pseudomonadati; Pseudomonadota; Gammaproteobacteria; Vibrionales; Vibrionaceae. The record is from RNAcentral.